AUUGAACGCUGGCGGCAGGCCUAACACAUGCAAGUCGAACGAUGGCCGGACGGGUGGUUAAUUUCUGGGAAACUCCCCGAUGGGGGGGGAUACCACCUGGAAACGUAACUUAUACCCCAUACCACGGGAUUUCCCCAAAGGGGAUUAGCUAGUAGGUGGGGUAACGGCUCACCUAGGCGACGAUCCCUAGCUGGUCUGAGAGGAUGACCAGCCACACUGGAACUGAGACACGGUCCAGACUCCUACGGGAGGCAGCAGUGGGGAAUAUUGCACAAUGGGCGCAAGCCUGAUGCAGCCAUGCCGCGUGUAUGAAGAAGGCCUUCGGGUUGUAAAGUACUUUCAGCGAGGAGGCGUUACUCGCAGAAGAAGCACCGGCUAACUCCGUGCCAGCAGCCGCGGUAAUUC
This 405-nucleotide ribosomal RNA is filed under the name uncultured bacterium. Its description in RNAcentral is "partial 16S ribosomal RNA". It matches the Rfam family "Bacterial small subunit ribosomal RNA", at positions 30 to 526 of the family's 1533-position model. The record is from RNAcentral.